AAUUUAAUGGAAUGAGUUUUGGCUCGUGCAUCGAUGAAGAACUCAGACAAGUGCAAUGAGCAGCGUAAACUGUAGAAUUUAUUGAGUCGUGGAACGCAAAUGGCGCCGCUGUUGGCUUUUCCAGAGCACGUCUGUAUAAGUAUCG
Molecule: ribosomal RNA, 145 nt
Filed under: Nematostella vectensis (starlet sea anemone)
Lineage: Eukaryota; Metazoa; Cnidaria; Anthozoa; Actiniaria; Edwardsiidae
Description: 5.8S ribosomal RNA
Rfam family: 5.8S ribosomal RNA
About the family: 5.8S ribosomal RNA (5.8S rRNA) is a component of the large subunit of the eukaryotic ribosome. It is transcribed by RNA polymerase I as part of the 45S precursor that also contains 18S and 28S rRNA. Functionally, it is thought that 5.8S rRNA may be involved in ribosome translocation.
Source: Rfam by way of RNAcentral